GAGCUUGUAAGGAAUACCAAGAACUGCUAAUUCUUCUAACCAUGGUUCGAUUCCAUGGCCUGCUCA
Molecule: transfer RNA, 66 nt
Filed under: Kalophrynus pleurostigma
Lineage: Eukaryota; Metazoa; Chordata; Amphibia; Anura; Microhylidae
Description: tRNA-Ser
Source: RNAcentral